CCAGCAGCUGCGGUAAUUCCAGCUCCAAUAGCGUAUAUUAAAGUUGUUGCAGUUAAAAAGCUCGUAGUUGAAUUUUGGGCCUAGUUGGGUGGUCUGACCUAACGGUCAGUACUGCUUUGAUUGGGCCUUUCCUUCUGGCUAACUAGUGUGCUCUUCAUUGGGUGCGCUAGGGAUCCAGGACUUUUACUGUGAAAAAAUUAGAGUGUUUAAAGCAGGCUUACGCUUGAAUACAUUAGCAUGGAAUAAUAGAAUAGGACUUUGGUUCUAUUUUGUUGGUUUCUAGGACCGAAGUAAUGAUUAAUAGGGAUAGUUGGGGGCAUUAGUAUUUAAUUGUCAGAGGUGAAAUUCUUGGAUUUAUGAAAGACUAACUUCUGCGAAAGCAUUUGCCAAGGAUGUUUUCAUUAAUCAAGAACGAAAGU
RNAcentral lists this ribosomal RNA (419 nucleotides) under uncultured eukaryote. RNAcentral describes it as "SSU rRNA". It matches the Rfam family "Eukaryotic small subunit ribosomal RNA", at positions 567 to 990 of the family's 1831-position model. The record is from RNAcentral.